GCGGGUCCCCAGCUUGCCUCCUCCAGACUCCUGCACCGAGAGUUUGGGAGCCUCGUCGGCAGCAGCCUGGGCGAGGGGUCGCUUCUCCCUAGCGGAGCCCCCCACACCUGCCCCCACAACGGCGCCAAGCCGGGGCCUCCGCGACCAGCGGAGGUCUAAGGGCCCCGAGUCUGGCCCAUGUGAUGGCACUGCUGCCAUGCUGUGCUGCCAGAGAUUCGGAGAUGGAUGCCAACAUGGGCCUGAGCCACAGACCACCUUCUAGCACCCUCCCUGCACGUGCUGUCGCCCAGCCAGCCCUCACCAACCUCUACUCCGACCUCCAACCUGAUGCAUGACAUCUGUCCUUGGUGUCUGGGGUCAGUGACUGCUCUGAAGCGUGACCAGGACACUCCUGGAAGGCGGCCACCUACCACCCUCCAAGUCCUGUCCCCUGCAGGACACCUUCCCUCCCAGCCCAGACAUGACUGAGCUCCUCCCCACUGUCCACGGUGACCCUCCGUUUCCCCCAAACUCACUCCACCACGGGUGGGUUAAAAUUUAACUGCUUCCUCUCCCUCCCUGUUCUCGCUUUCUUCUGCUUCCAAAUUCUGCACACCCUCCCCUUGGUUGCUUUUAUUUUAAAAUGCAUUGGGUGUUCA
Molecule: long non-coding RNA, 638 nt
Organism: Heterocephalus glaber (naked mole-rat)
Lineage: Eukaryota; Metazoa; Chordata; Mammalia; Rodentia; Bathyergidae
Source: RefSeq, a predicted model, not a curated record